Podarcis lilfordi (Lilford's wall lizard) is the source of this 98-nucleotide non-coding RNA. The record is from the annotation of a GenBank genome assembly. NCBI's taxonomy places the organism in Eukaryota, Metazoa, Chordata, Lepidosauria, Squamata, Lacertidae.
AAGAGAAAGCCCUCCAGAUGCUUUGGACUACAACUCCCAGCAGCCCCAGCCAGGUGGCUACUGGGAGCUGUAGUUGGAAACAUUUGGAGGGCUUCGAC